Molecule: ribosomal RNA, 449 nt
Filed under: uncultured bacterium
Lineage: Bacteria
Description: partial 16S ribosomal RNA
Rfam family: Bacterial small subunit ribosomal RNA
Source: RNAcentral
AACGAACGCUGGCGGCAUGCCUAACACAUGCAAGUCGAACGAUCCCUUCGGGGAUAGUGGCGCACGGGUGCGUAACGCGUGGGAAUCUGCCCUUGGGUUCGGAAUAACAGUUAGAAAUGACUGCUAAUACCGGAUGAUGUCUUCGGACCAAAGAUUUAUCGCCCAGGGAUGAGCCCGCGUAGGAUUAGGUAGUUGGUGGGGUAAUGGCCUACCAAGCCGACGAUCCUUAGCUGGUCUGAGAGGAUGAUCAGCCACACUGGGACUGAGACACGGCCCAGACUCCUACGGGAGGCAGCAGUGGGGAAUAUUGGACAAUGGGCGCAAGCCUGAUCCAGCAAUGCCGCGUGAGUGAUGAAGGCCUUAGGGUUGUAAAGCUCUUUUACCAGGGAUGAUAAUGACAGUACCUGGAGAAUAAGCUCCGGCUAACUCCGUGCCAGCCGCCGCGGUAA